AAAUAAAAAUUUGUUUAAUAUUUUCUUAUUCUUAAAUCAUAUGAAUAAUCAUUUCUAGAAAAAUAGAGAAUGUCAAGAAAGAUUAUUUUUCAUUCAAAUUAUGAUAUUAUUUAUAAAUUAGAUAAAUAUUUAUA
Molecule: non-coding RNA, 134 nt
Organism: Apis mellifera (honey bee)
Lineage: Eukaryota; Metazoa; Arthropoda; Insecta; Hymenoptera; Apidae
Source: RefSeq, marked provisional